This 263-nucleotide ribosomal RNA is filed under the name uncultured bacterium. RNAcentral describes it as "partial 16S ribosomal RNA". It matches the Rfam family "Bacterial small subunit ribosomal RNA", at positions 793 to 1055 of the family's 1533-position model. The record is from RNAcentral.
GUCCACGCCCUAAACUAUGUCAACUAGUUGUCUGGGAAGCAAUUCCUUGGUAACGAAGCUAACGCGUGAAGUUGACCGCCUGGGGAGUACGGUCGCAAGAUUAAAACUCAAAGGAAUUGACGGGGGCCCGCACAAGCGGUGGAUGAUGUGGAUUAAUUCGAUGCAACGCGAAAACCUUACCUACCCUUGACAUGGCAGUAAGCCCGAUGAGAGUCGGGUGUGCUCGAAAGAGAGCCUGCACACAGGUGCUGCAUGGCUGUCGU